RNAcentral lists this long non-coding RNA (762 nucleotides) under Oryza brachyantha (malo sina). RNAcentral describes it as "long non-coding RNA (OBRA_LNC001286)". Lineage: Eukaryota; Viridiplantae; Streptophyta; Magnoliopsida; Poales; Poaceae. The record is from RNAcentral.
CUGUAUAACAACGGUACCCACUAGACCCUAUAUAACCCCUGUAAAAACAUUUCUACCCUACUACUGUAUAUGAAAUGUAUCCCCCUAUAUCCUACCCACUGUAACCACCUGCUACUGAAUAGAAACUGUAACCUCUAACACUUGUAUAACCACUUUAACCUCUAACACCUGUAUAUCCUCUGUUUCCUCUAGCCUACCCAUCUAAUGAAUACCUAUAAGAAUAAUACCUAUAAGGAUAACAGAUUAAUUCCUCGCUUGUUGGAUAUACUUUUCCUGAAUACCCAUGAUGUACUGAACCUGAAUAACCAUGCUUAACAACUGGUUCAUCCACUCCGUAUCAUAUGCUUAACAACAGGUUCAUCCACUCCGUAUCAUAUGCUUAACAACAGGUUCAUCCACUCCGUAUCAUAUGCUUAACAACAGGUUCAUCCACUCCGUAUCAUAUGCUUAACAACAGGUUCAUCCACUCCGUAUCAUAUGCUUAACAACAGGUGAAUGAACUACUUAUUAAAUGCAAAUAAACUACAAAGAUUACUCUUGCUACACAAAGGACACCUGCACACACUUUACUUACUACUUACCAAAUCAACACUAGCUAGAUGGAGUCUUUCCUUUCAAAGUGAAACGAUUUUCCUUUUACGUUGAGAUAUUAGAAUUGGAUUUUCUCGGACGAUAUUAAAGUGAUCCACUUGAGAACGUAAGCCAGGCAUAAUUGGAGUCCCUUUAGCCUUAAGCCUGCAUGAAUGCUUCCUUCUUUUGUAC